GACGAACGCUGGCGGCGUGCCUAAUACAUGCAAGUAGAACGCAGUUGCGAACGGGUGAGUAACGCGUAGGUAACUGCCUGGUAGCGGGGGAUAACUCUUGGAAACGAUAGCUAAUACCGCAUACUACCAGAUGGACCUGCGUUGUAUUAGAUAGUUGGUGGGGGAACGGCUCACCAAGGCAACGAUACAUAGAGGACCUUGGAGGGUGUUCCGCCACGCUGGGACUGAGACACGACCCAGCCUCCUACGGUAGGGAGCAGUAGGGAUUCUUCGGCAAUGUGGGGAACCCUGACCGAGCAACGGCGCGUGAGUGAAGAAGGUUUUCGGAUCGUAAAGCUCUGUUGUUAAGGAAGCGGUACUUAACCAGAAAGGGACGGCUAACUACGUGCCAGCAGCCGCGGUAAUUC
RNAcentral lists this ribosomal RNA (407 nucleotides) under uncultured bacterium. Its description in RNAcentral is "partial 16S ribosomal RNA". It matches the Rfam family "Bacterial small subunit ribosomal RNA", at positions 28 to 526 of the family's 1533-position model. The record is from RNAcentral.